AGGACGAACGCUGGCGGCGUGCUUAACACAUGCAAGUCGAGCGGAAAGGCCCUUCGGGGUACUCGAGCGGCGAACGGGUGAGUAACACGUGAGUAAUCUGCCCCUAGCUCUGGGAUAGCUCCGGGAAACCGGGAUUAAUACCAGAUACGACCACUUUAGACAUCUGUUGUGGUGGAAAGAAUUUCGGCUAGGGAUGAGCUCGCGGCCUAUCAGCUUGUUGGUGAGGUAACGGCUCACCAAGGCGACGACGGGUAGCCGGCCUGAGAGGGCGACCGGCCACACUGGGACUGAGACACGGCCCAGACUCCUACGGGAGGCAGCAGUGGGGAAUAUUGCGCAAUGGGCGAAAGCCUGACGCAGCGACGCCGCGUGGGGGAUGAAGGCCUUCGGGUUGUAAACCCCUUUCAGCAGGGACGAAGCGAAAGUGACGGUACCUGCAGAAGAAGCGCCGGCUAACGUACGUGCCAGCAGCCGCGGUAA
This 480-nucleotide ribosomal RNA is filed under the name uncultured bacterium. Its description in RNAcentral is "SSU rRNA". It matches the Rfam family "Bacterial small subunit ribosomal RNA", at positions 26 to 523 of the family's 1533-position model. The record is from RNAcentral.